RNAcentral lists this transfer RNA (78 nucleotides) under Blastocatellia bacterium. Its description in RNAcentral is "tRNA-Lys". It matches the Rfam family "tRNA". Rfam says of the family: Transfer RNA (tRNA) molecules are approximately 80 nucleotides in length. Their secondary structure includes four short double-helical elements and three loops (D, anti-codon, and T loops). The record is from RNAcentral. Lineage: Bacteria; Pseudomonadati; Acidobacteriota; Blastocatellia.
CGAUCGGUAGCCAAGCCCGGUCAAGGCACCUGCCUUUUAAGCAGGGGAUCGUGGGUUCAAAUCCCACCCGAUCGGCCA